UGCUUGGUAGUAAAUAGUAUAAUGUUUUAAUAUUUGCUUGUGUUACUCUAAAAUGAAUUAUAAAGACUCUGCAAUUAUAACAAUUGAAGGGACCUUUUAGUAAAAGAUAAGUUAUGUAUGGGGGCUUGUUUUUGCCCAUGGUUGCUUUAUAUUAUAUAUUCACUGAGCCGUGUUCACUCGCACAUUCCAGUAUUCAGAGUAUCAAUUUUCCAGUGUUUCUUGUAACGAAAAUGGAUUAGAUACUUUGGGAUAAUGCAUAUAAAGUAACUG
Molecule: unclassified non-coding RNA, 270 nt
Filed under: Hevea brasiliensis (rubber tree)
Lineage: Eukaryota; Viridiplantae; Streptophyta; Magnoliopsida; Malpighiales; Euphorbiaceae
Source: RNAcentral